GAGUCUUCGAUGAAGAACUUGCAGGAAGAAAGCUCAGAGCUGAGAAUAAUCUCUGAGAAGGACAGAAAGGAGAAAGAAGUCCUUCACAAAAAGCUGGAGGACAUGGAUGAACUUCUGAGAAAGAAGGCUGUUUUGGAGAGUUCCCUCUCAGACGUGAAUGGCGAGUUGCAGGGAUCGCAGGAAAAGGUGAGGGCACUUCAAGAGUCCUGCCAAAUUCUCAAUGGAGAAAAAUUGACCCUUGUUGCUGAGAAAGGUUCUUUGCUAUCUCAGUUGCAAAUUAUAACUGAUAGCAUGCAGAAACUCCUAGAGAAAAAUGCGGUUCUUGAGAACUCUCUUUUUGGUGCAAAAAUUGAACUUGAAGGUCUGAGGGAAAAAUCCAAGGGAUUAGAAGAGAUCUGUCAAUUGCUGAAGAAUGAGAAGUCCAAUCUUCUUGCUGAAAGAGGUAGCCUAGAGCUUCAGUUGGAAAAUGUUGAACGGAGACUAGAAUAUCUGGA
This 494-nucleotide unclassified non-coding RNA is filed under the name Hevea brasiliensis (rubber tree). Lineage: Eukaryota; Viridiplantae; Streptophyta; Magnoliopsida; Malpighiales; Euphorbiaceae. The record is from RNAcentral.